RNAcentral lists this long non-coding RNA (2127 nucleotides) under Sus scrofa (pig). RNAcentral describes it as "lncRNA (ENSSSCG00015055502.1)". Lineage: Eukaryota; Metazoa; Chordata; Mammalia; Artiodactyla; Suidae. The record is from RNAcentral.
AUCCGCCGGAAGUGCGUCCGUCCGGGCGAGGAAGGAAAUAGGGCGCGGGGCGCCGCCGUGGAAGAACUCCAUUCAGAGGCAGUCGUGAUAAACCAGAGCAUCAGCCCUUUCCGCUGGGAUACCAAUAAGUCUUGAACUUCAAAACUGCUGACCUAAAAAGGAUACUUGAGAAGGAGCAAGUCUUUCCUUUUUUCUUUUAAAGAAAGCAACACCAGAAGCAGUCGAACUUCCUUGUUCACUUAGGUGCAUGCAAAAAAGAAAAGUUUACUCUGCUUCAGGACCCUCUCUUACCCCUCAUGGCGUGAGCCUGAAGCCUGUCCACUGAGGAGCGUUCUAAGAACUUCCAGAUCAUUCCAUGGAACUACAGCAGAAAGGACCCGAGAAGGAAGUAUCGCCGGCGGGACAUCUUUGAGAGGCGACUUCCAGACAUCUUCUGGAACACUCUGAAGCAAGAGCGCCAGCAGCCUUUCAGAAGACCCCAUUCCAUCCCUGCGCCCUCGAUUUCAGCAUUUCUUCAACUGUAUGGAACACACAGACAUACUCUUGGAGGCCUCAGAGUUCUAAAAACGAUCUGCAAAUUUUUGUCUUUUCCUUGGGAUCGCCAUCCAAAAGGAAGUGAUACGUGCGCCUCCUCCGGUGACGCGUUUCUUUUUUAAUUAGUACACUUUAUGUGGACGAGUGGUUUGAGGUUUACAGAGAAACUGAGUGAAAAGUGUAAACUCACCUUCCAGCCCUGACUCCUCCACCUCCAGUUCCCACGGUUAACAGCUUCCGUCCGGGUGGCGUAUUCGUCACAGUUGAGGAGCCCAUAGUAAUACAUUCUUAUUCAUUAAAGCCCAUACUUGGCACUAGGGUUCAUUCUCUGCGUUAUACAUCCUAGGAGUUUUGACAAAUGCAAUGACUCCUUUUUGUCCGAGGACCACCAGAGAGAUUUUCAGUCUUACCUUGCUUUUGUGUUUCGAGACCGGUUCCGCUUUAAUUGUCCCGGAUGAGUAAGACAGGAACAGAGUUGGACUUAAUAGGCAACACGUGAUGUCAGUUUUAGUGAUGGAAACUCACACGCCUCAGACAUGAAGGUUUGUCUGUGGUUCAGAAGAAGAAACGGGUUUGCUUGGAGUUACCCCAAGGCUUGCUGUGGUCCGCCCUCCCCAAGGCAGACGCCGUCAUCGCUGCCGUGUUCACAUCCUGAAAGGUGAUGUUUGUUUCAGCAAAUAGUAUUUCUCACAUUAAUAUAAGGCUAUUGCAAUAUCGCUGACAUUGUAGUUUGCAUUUGCCUUUGCAUUUGGAGGCGUAGUUUAAUUUGUAAGUUUGCACCACUGUGAGUAUAGGGACUUUAUACCUAGUCAUAUGCCCAUAAUUAAGAAAUGCUUUAGAGAAAAUAUUUGUACAUGAUAUGACUGAUAGGAGGGGACUAUCCAAAAUAUGUAACAGCUCAUACAACUCAGUAUCAAAAAAAAAAACAAACAAAACACAAUUAAACGUGGGCAGAAGACCUUGAUAGAUGUUUUUCUAGAGAAGACAGGCAGAAGGCCAACAGCCACAUGAAAAAAUGGUCGCUAUAAUUACACCAGAGAAAUGUGAGUCAAAGUCGCCAUGAGAACACCUCACAGCUGUCAGAAUGGCUACCAUCAAAAAGACCACACAUAACAAACAUUGGCAAGGAUGUGGCGAAAAGAAACACUUGCACACUGCUGGUGGGCGUGUAAACUAGUGCAGUCACUGUGGACGUCAAUGUGGGGGUUCCUCCAAAACUAAAAGUAGAACUACCACAUGAUUCCGCAAUUCCACUCCUGAGUGUGUGUCCCAAGAAACUGAAAGCACUCAUUUGAAAAGAUGUGUGCACCCUGGUGUUUGCAGCAGCAUUAUUUAUGGCAGCCAAGAGGCGGAAGCAAGCCAAGUGCCCAUCCAUGGAUGAAUGAAGAAAAUGUGGUGUAUAUGUAGAUAUUCGUGUGUGUGCGUGUGCGUGUGCGUGUGCGUGCCAUACAAAGAAGGAGAUUCUGCCAUUUGGAGCAAUAUCAAUGGACCUCGAGAAUAUUAUGCUCAGUGAAAUAAGACAGACAGAGAAAGAUAGAUACCGUAUGAUAAAAAUUGUACGUGGAAUCUAAGAAAUAAAACAAACGAAUGUAU